This 301-nucleotide ribosomal RNA is filed under the name uncultured bacterium. Its description in RNAcentral is "partial 16S ribosomal RNA". It matches the Rfam family "Bacterial small subunit ribosomal RNA", at positions 509 to 808 of the family's 1533-position model. The record is from RNAcentral.
CAGUAGCCGCGGGAAUACAGAGGGUGCGAGCGUUAAUCGGAUUUACUGGGCGUAAAGCGUGCGUAGGCGGCUUCUUAAGUCGGAUGUGAAAUCCCUGAGCUUAACUUAGGAAUUGCAUUCGAUACUGGGAAGCUAGAGUAUGGGAGAGGAUGGUAGAAUUCCAGGUGUAGCGGUGAAAUGCGUAGAGAUCUGGAGGAAUACCGAUGGCGAAGGCAGCCAUCUGGCCUAAUACUGACGCUGAGGUACGAAAGCAUGGGGAGCAAACAGGAUUAGAGACCCCCGUAGUCCCCUGUCUCUUAUA